AAAGAUAUCCCAGAAGAAACUGAAGA
This 26-nucleotide non-coding RNA is filed under the name Macaca fascicularis (crab-eating macaque). Lineage: Eukaryota; Metazoa; Chordata; Mammalia; Primates; Cercopithecidae. The record is from RNAcentral. RNAcentral also lists the same sequence under 3 other names.